CGGACGAGUGGCGAACGGGUGAGUAAUAUAUCGGAACGUGCCCAGUAGUGGGGGAUAGCCCGGCGAAAGCCGGAUUAAUACCGCAUACGACCUACGGGUGAAAGCGGGGGAUCGUAAGACCUCGCGCUAUUGGAGCGGCCGAUAUCAGAUUAGGUAGUUGGUGGGGUAAAAGCCUACCAAGCCGACGAUCUGUAGCUGGUCUGAGAGGACGACCAGCCACACUGGGACUGAGACACGGCCCAG
Molecule: ribosomal RNA, 243 nt
Filed under: uncultured bacterium
Lineage: Bacteria
Description: partial 16S ribosomal RNA
Rfam family: Bacterial small subunit ribosomal RNA
Source: RNAcentral